CCUACGUGCGGCAGCAGUAGGGAAUCUUCCACAAUGGGCGAAAGCCUGAUGGAGCAACGCCGCGUGGGUGAAGAAGGUCUUCGGAUCGUAAAACCCUGUUGUUAGAGAAGAAAGUGCGUGAGAGUAACUGUUCACGUUUCGACGGUAUCUAACCAGAAAGCCACGGCUAACUACGUGCCAGCAGCCGCGGUAAUACGUAGGUGGCAAGCGUUAUCCGGAUUUAUUGGGCGUAAAGGGAACGCAGGCGGUCUUUUAAGUCUGAUGUGAAAGCCUUCGGCUUAACCGGAGUAGUGCAUUGGAAACUGGGAGACUUGAGUGCAGAAGAGGAGAGUGGAACUCCAGGUGUAGCGGUGAAAUGCGUAGAUAUUUGGAAGAACACCGAUGGCGAAGGCAGCCCCCUGGGACGCAACUGACGCUCAUACACGAAAGCGUGGGGAGCAAACAGGAUGAGAUACCCUAGUAGUC
RNAcentral lists this ribosomal RNA (465 nucleotides) under uncultured bacterium. Its description in RNAcentral is "partial 16S ribosomal RNA". It matches the Rfam family "Bacterial small subunit ribosomal RNA", at positions 338 to 795 of the family's 1533-position model. The record is from RNAcentral.